UGGGGAAUUUUGGACAAUGGGCGAAAGCCUGAUCCAGCAAUGCCGCGUGUGUGAAGAAGGCCUUCGGGUUGUAAAGCACUUUUGUCCAGAAAGAAGUCCUUGGCUCUAAUACAGUCGGGGGAUGACGGUACCGGAAGAAUAAGCACCGGCUAACUACGUGCCAGCAGCCGCGGUAAUACGUAGGGUGCAAGCGUUAAUCGGAAUUACUGGGCGUAAAGCGUGCGCAGGCGGUUUGCUAAGACCGAUGUGAAAUCCCCGGGCUCAACCUGGGAACUGCAUUGGUGACUGGCAGGCUAGAGUAUGGCAGAGGGGGGUAGAAUUCCACGUGUAGCAGUGAAAUGCGUAGAGAUGUGGAGGAAUACCGAUGGCGAAGGCAGCCCCCUGGGCCAAUACUGACGCUCAUGCACGAAAAGCGUGGGGAGCAAAACAGGAUUAGAUACCCUGGUAGUCCACGCCCUAAACGAUGUCAACUAGUUGUUGGGGAUUCAUUUCCUUAGUAACGUAGCUAACGCGUGAAGUUGACCGCCUAGGGAGUACGGUCGCAAGAUUAAAACUUAAAGGAAUUGACGGGGUCAUAGCUG
RNAcentral lists this ribosomal RNA (581 nucleotides) under uncultured bacterium. RNAcentral's name for it is "partial 16S ribosomal RNA". It matches the Rfam family "Bacterial small subunit ribosomal RNA", at positions 355 to 932 of the family's 1533-position model. The record is from RNAcentral.